This 5559-nucleotide long non-coding RNA is filed under the name Sus scrofa (pig). RNAcentral's name for it is "lncRNA (ENSSSCG00000052589.1)". Lineage: Eukaryota; Metazoa; Chordata; Mammalia; Artiodactyla; Suidae. The record is from RNAcentral.
AUAGGGUUUACCUUUAAAGCUAGUAGUUGCCAUGUCUUUCCUGUCUUUGACAUUGAUAAGCACUGGCAUGUGUGUUAAACGUGGCUUCAACCGGGGACAAAUGAGAACUGACUCAAGACCUCCAUAACAUAUCAGAUAUCUUACAUGAAUUACAACUUACUGUCACAACCUCAGUUUGAUUUACAUUUAAUUAUUAUUUUAUAGAUAAGGAAACUCACACAAGUCACCUGAUGACUCACAGAACGGUCCCAAUACUCCUUCACUUUCUACGAUAUGCAAGUGAUAGGUUAACCCACUGAGGAGUUUUAUUCCACAGUUUUAGCAAAUAGACAGAAAGCACUUUCACGGCUUCCCACUAAUAGGUAUUUUCUUACUCGUCACCAGUACUUUUUCUCUUUUCUGGCUUAGAAUGAAAUAAUCAUAUCUAAGGCAAACAGAGGAGGUAAAGAUGAUUACAUUAAUAACACAAAGGGGACAAAACUACUAGAAUUUCACCUUUAAUUUUUUAUGUAUUUUGUUUGAAAAUCCUAUUUUAUGGAGACACAAAAUUCAGACUUUACUACAACAGUACCAUGGCACUGCUAAGCUAUUGCUUUUUAGCAAAAGAAAAAAAAAAGAUAAUAACCAAUUUUUUAAAAUCAUUGAUACUUUCAUAAGGUCCUUUAUUUUCAUCUUUAUUUUGUUAAACUGUUACGAAUUUACAUGUGUCAAUUAGUUUAAGGACUAGAAUUAGAACUGGCUUCAUCUGCUUGUGAAUGAUAAACAUCCACGUAUGAUGAGAAAGGUUUCCUCUGUAUCUGGACUGAAAUGGUGUUGCUAUUACCUAAUAACUGGAUCUCUCUUGUAAGGACACCGCUAACAACUUCCUGAUAAACAGCAUCAUGGUUGAGGAGACUUAACAUCCCUGCCCUUGGCAAAAUUAUAGCAAAGAGGAGUAAAAUUAUAGAGAACAGGAGUGAGGAGAAGUUUAUCAGGGUGAUUUAAGGCAGGACAGCGUGGCACAAUAAAUGAUCACUUGACAUCUGGUUACUGACAAGGGAUAAAGAAGAGACUUGAUAUUAAGGAGAAGGGCAGAGGGAGAGGUUCCCUCAGGGAAUCCAGCUGAGAGAAAUACCCUCCCAUCCCUACCCCCCCCCCCCACACACACACAAGGACUACCAUAAAAGAUUCCUGAGAUUUUUUUUUAACCCUAGAAGAAAGCUGGAGGCAAUUUUCAAAACCCUCAGUCAAUUUUAAAAUUCCCAGGCCCAGGUGAAAGAUUGAUUCUUAAGAUUAAGAUUUUACUUCUAAUUCUAAACACACAAGUGACUCAGCAAAAUGUCAGGGAUGGGAAAGGCACUUGAUAAAACCAGCCCCUUUUGGUGCUACCUCCAUUUCUGAAAUGUUCUUUACGUACACAUGGUCAAAUUUUCCUUCUUACCAGUUUUUGAGGGUGUCACAAUUUUAAUAGUCCACAUACAUAGAGUUAGAUAAACAGCAUUAAAAAUGGGAACCCUGGAGUUCCCAUUGUGGCUCAGGGGGUAAAGAACCCAACACAUGUCUGUGAGGAUGCAGGUUCAAACUUCAUUCAGUGAGUUAAGGAUCCAGUGUCGCUGCCUGUAGGUCGCAGAUGUGGCUCAGAUCCUUUGCUGCUGUGACUGUGGUGUAGGCUGGCAGCUGCAGCUCCGAUUCAACCCCUAGCCUGGGAACUUCCAUAUGCCGCAGGUGCAGCUGCAAAAAGAAAAAAAAGGGGGGAACUUUAUCAACUGCAUACAGGUUUUCCUGAAAGAAUAUCUUCAUAAAGCAUCCUUUUUAGACACCUCUGUUGAAUCAACAUACCGACGCCACUGGUAGGAGCAUAACUUUUGGAAUUCAGCUGUUGGGAUCGCAAUUUACCUUCCAUCAUUUGGACAAAUCACCCCUGGUUUCCAAAGUAAAUGCUAAAUGCAGUGGUAAUUCUCUAAGUCUAUGGAAUUUUAAAGAUCUGGUCUCAAAUAUGGCUCCAUCAUCUAAUAAUACAAUGACCAUGGCAGGGGCUUCACUUCUUUGGUUAAAAUGUCCUCACGUGUAAAAUGGUGAUUAUGGGUAACCUAUGUCAUGGAAUUGUGAAAAUGGCUGCAUAUGUUAAUGUACUGAAGGCAUUUAGUAUUGUGCCUGACAAGCAGUUAGGGGUUAAAACGGGCAGUGAUUACUAAGAUCAAUAUCUAUCCCAGGCAGAAAGAUAUCUUUCCUGCCUACUUACAAAUGCUUAUAUGAAAUUAGUUAACUCAUUGCUGGGAGAGUUCCUUGAUCUUUGGCACUCAUGCUACUUUCUAUGAUAAACAAAACAAAACAAAAUGAGCAAGCAAAAAACUCCAAAAUGCUGCAGCCCUGAAAUUCUCAUAUCUUCUGCUUUUGUUCACCCUCUCUUUUUCUACACUGAGAACCAAGAGGAAGUUGAGAAAUUCUAGGCAUGGCUUGGAUGCCGGUGAUACACAGAGGUCAUGACAUCUCUGUUUUUUAAUCUUGUCAUUUUCCUCUUCGUGAAUAGAGACUCCAUCCUUGAUGUCUACUUGGUUGCUCUCAGUAAUUUCAUUCUCUCUCUUCCUGUCCUCAUCAAACCCUGUUCUCAGAGCACCUCUCUAUGCCACCUUGAAGUAACACCUGAUAAAACCACAAAUGUUGGAUUUCUCAAAGACACGGGCAUUCAAACUAGGAUAAAAAUCUUAAACCUAAGAAAAGAAAGUCAGCAUAAUUCAACAAAGAGAAUUCAGCCAUGUAGUUGCAGGUGUGUGUGUGUGUAGGGGGGGAAACCAGGACUUUCUAGUAAUCCCUAAAGAUCAUUCCUGUGGCUAGCACAUAGCCUGUCCAAAAGAGUAGGCAAAUAGGAUCAAAAGAGCAUAAUAGCAAGAGUAUAAAAUGGCCAAGUGACUUUAUAACCUUGUCUCAUUUUUUUCUUCCAGUCUCCAUUUACUUUCUAUGCUGUCUGGGUCCUGGAUUUGAAUCCUAUUUAUUAACUACUAAACAUUAAGCAGAUCAAACAAAUCGCCUCAUCCUCAGUUUCCCCACCAAUGAAAGGUUUAUUUCUAUUGGUUUUUUUGGUGGUGGGGGAAAUUACUUAACAUACAUGAAAGCCCUUCUCAAAAGCUAGCCAAGUAAUUAUUAAGAUGAUGCCGUUCCCAUUCCCAUCUGACUCGGGCUAACUACAUAUUUUAGACAUCCCCCUUUCUACUUCUUAAAAGUUAGACUCCUGGCCUUGCAAUGCUAAUAAAAAACUAAGAAAGAUCUUUGUAAAGGCAGUGUGUAAAAAUAACUUCAGACUCCGAAAGUCAUACUCACCAUUUUUCACAACUGGAUGUAAUACCUUCCUGGAAAAUAGGUUGCUGUGAAAAGUUUCAUCUGGCUCUUUUUUCUCCCUCAUUUAUGUUACAAUAUUUUCAGUAAUUCAAAUAAAAUUUUUUUUUUUCUUUGCUCUUGUGCAAGAAAUGUUGAAGGUCUUGUGGCCCUAGCAUAGGGAGACAGCUACUAGAAAUGAAAAGGAGCUUCUCCAGUUGGAAGUUUAUGGAGGUAGAGAUUCUCCUGCAUUUAAUUUCCUCUGGAAGGAAAGCCCUUUGUCACAGUGUUUUCACAGGUCUUUUGCUGCAGAUGUACCACUUUAGUUUAGGCCUGACUUAAUAAGGGAAGAAUAAGCAGAUUCAUGAAUUAUCCUCAGUGUAUGUAUUUAAUCAAGGGAAUGACUGUGUUCUUGACUUUGUAUUAGAUUUUGCCUUUUAAAGAACAUUUAAUAUUGCAUUUUACUCAAAGGAGACAAUUUUGAAUGGAAAUGGCUUUGAUCAAGGCAUUAAUGGGAUAAUCAAGUUUAAACUAGAAUCAAGUUUAAUGGAAUUUCCUAUUCCUUCUUUUCCUGUCAUAAAUCAUAAUUACCCAUUUGUUAUUCAAACAUAUCCAGUUUGUUCUAUUCAGGUCUGGUGUAAGACUAUAAGCCAGGCAUACAGUACUGUGGGGGACCUUAAAUUAUCCAGCCAUGCUCCUUAUUUAGCAGAUAAAGGAAAUGGUGCUCAAAAAACCCGAGAAGUGAAGGGCUUUGUCCAAGGUUGCACCAAUGCCUGUUGUUACAAAACCACACAGGAAUGCCUCAUCGUUCCCAUUUGAGUAUCUCCCAUGACUUCUCCCCCUUUCAACCUCUCUUUUCGGCUAUUAUCUGGUAUUCAUUAGCUCUCAAGAUGUGCAGAAGCUUUCAGGUGGUUCAUAACACUCAACACUCUCCUUCUUUGGUCUAUAUCAGGAGCGAUCUGUCUCUUGUUUUCUUGACAUAUUAUUUCAUUGUAAGGAUUUAACGACUGGUGAUGGAUUGGCAUGUGAUCAUGGUGUCCAGAUAAUACGGUCCAACGUUUUAACUUUUAGGACUGAGGGCCCAUAGAUGCCCCCAACUGACUUAAAAUAUUAGCUCUCAGAGGGAGUCCUGCAGGUGACACUCUCAAACACCAUCUUCUAUUUUUCUGUUUCUUCCAGCUACAUGUACAGUUCUCUGCAUUUGCUGUAAGCUACAAAGAGAUUCUGUACCUACUCCAUUUUCAAUGUUUGAUAAAAAUGCAUGAACUUAUUUAUCAAUGAUUUUUAAAAUUUCUUAAUCAGCAAAGCAUAAUCAAACCCUAAAAAAGCAAUCAAGCACCAAAUUGAUUAAAAUGGAUUCCACUUAGGUUCCAAGCACUGAGGAGGGGUAUUCAAUCACCAUGUUUUCCUCUAUGGUUUAACUUUUAAAAUUCUUUUUCAGAAGAAGUCCAUGAGAGAAAUGGUUCUAGUCAGGGGAAGAAAGAUUAAUCAUUCUUCUGAUAAAAGCAGGAGGAAUAAGCUCUUGUUCAUAAAUACUGAGAAAGAUAAAAGAAGUAACGCCUUUAGGGAAACUUUUACCAAUGCAAAGUCCAAGUCAAUACAAGGCAUGCACUUGUAUUCAGGAUAAAUAAUAGCCAGUGGAGGCAAUACAAUUGUUUUGAACAUGUUACUUUGUGUAAUAGCAGAGAAAGAGUUUUAUACAGCAGGGGCUUUCAUCCCUGCUGGCCUGUGGUAAGGCACCCCUGCCUCUAGAGUCAAUAGAAGCCUUGUGGGGAGUUGAACCUUCACCCCCAUCUGGCAGUAAUAAGAUACCCAUUUAUCUGCCUGCUGGUGUGGAGCCAGAGGUCCACUGAAGAAUCAUGAUUUUCACCAUUUCCCAGAAGGAAUGAGGUCAUCACAUUGUGUUGCUGGGGGAAGAUCACCUAGAUUGCUAGAAAUUCCACUCCCUCUUAGCUGUAAGAAAGAACCCCUCCCUCAGCUUCAGUGGAAGCCAAGAAGGAAUCUCAUCUUCUAUCUCCACCAGGCAGUAAAGAGGGGUGCCCUCUUCCCCUGCCGAAGAUGUGUGAGAGAAAACCAGCUAAAGGGGAUGGUUUAAAUAAAAUAUAGUGUCUCAUAAUAGAACACAAAAAUGUCCAGAUUACCAUCCAAAAUCAUGACCAAUAGCAAGAAACAGAAAGAUCUCAAACAGUAUGAGAAAAAGGCAAUUGAUAUCAUCACUAAGAUGACAGAGAUGCUGGAAUUUAUUUGAAAAAAUCUGAAAGCAUCCAU